Molecule: long non-coding RNA, 1074 nt
Organism: Ananas comosus (pineapple)
Lineage: Eukaryota; Viridiplantae; Streptophyta; Magnoliopsida; Poales; Bromeliaceae
Exons: 6
Source: RefSeq, a predicted model, not a curated record
AGCUGAGGCUUGUCGACAGCUCUGGAGAGUGUCGGGACAAGUCCGGGUCGCGUUGGCGCGAAGUGGACGCCAAACGGGCCUUGUGGGAACUUGAGAGCAGCGUGUAUCUUGAAGAUCUGCGAAAUAGCAGAUUUUCAGUGAGCUGUACCGGUACAAAUCUGGGUUUGUACCGGUACAAAGUGGAAGCAGGGUGCAAGUUGACUUUUGGCCAUCUUGUCACAUCACCCCCCUUUAACCCUUACCUUGGAGCAGAGAGGAGAGAGAGAGGGGAGCUUCUUCAUGCUGCUGCUGCUGUGCUUCUUCUUCCUCUCCUUCUACUUCCCUUAGCAACCUAGAGUGUUGGAGGAGCUCAAGAGAAGCUCGAGCUUCGUCGACGACGCGCCGCGGAGCGGAUCGAGCGAGUUUUCGACGAGGUGCUGCUCGCAGGGAGGGUUUGUCGAGAGUUUUGACUCGUAUUCCGCGCAGGAGCAUCGGAACGUGACGCGACUUGAUUCGUUGGAACCGAGACUUCGAGACGAAUCCAUAGGAUCCUUACUCGCCCGAUUUGGAGAAGGAGUGUCGAAACGCGACGAAAUUUGGCGUGCUAGAUUCGCGACUUCGAGACGAAGAUUCUGAGCCCAAGAUCGCGAUUUUUGGAGCAGGUUCCAGCGUCGACGUUUCGUAUUCUGGCCCGUUCUCUGCGUAGGAGCGUCGGAAUUCAGCGAAACCUGGGCCAUUGGAUUCGUGACUUCGAGACGAAGCUUCAGAACCCUUGUUUGCUGAAUUUGGAUAAGCAGGAGAACCGGGGACUUCGACGGACCAGCGAGGGAUCAAUUUGGAUCCGGGCCACUUUCUUCGCUGCCAGGAGUUGCUUGAGAGGGCCUUCUGUUUCGGCUGCUGCUCCUUCUGAGGCGGACCGCGGGAAAGGCGUGGCGAGUUAGAGCCUACCCUUCGAGUACAGUGCUAGAGGACUCCCGCUGCAGGUAGUGACAGUUUUUGUUCGGGCGCUUUUGUACAUACAGUUGAACUCGCUGGAGCGAGUAGUGUUCUUUUGUAUCCGUGGCUGAUGUAGGUAUAUAAAGUUUGUUAUUUCUA